RNAcentral lists this long non-coding RNA (947 nucleotides) under Daphnia pulicaria. RNAcentral's name for it is "uncharacterized LOC124321169, transcript variant X1". Lineage: Eukaryota; Metazoa; Arthropoda; Branchiopoda; Diplostraca; Daphniidae. The record is from RNAcentral.
ACGAUUCAUAGCUCCACUGCAGAUACCUCAUUAUAGUCGUACCUUGUUUUUCAGUUGUUUUUUAGUUUAAGAUUUUUUCUUUGCAAGACAGUGCACAUCUUGCACAUCCCCGCACAUCCCAUCAACAGGACUUCUUAAAAAGAAAAUGGCGGAAGCACAAAAUUUUGAAAUGUAACAAUUAGUAGUCGACGAACAGCAAACAAUAGCACGAUCAUGGACACGCACCAUCUUUAAGGGAACUUGGGGUGGCAAUCUGGUUCCUGUGAGAUUUAUUUCGAUCACCGACUGCCGUCAAAAUGUCUUGACUCAUUAUGAAAAGUAUGAAUCCCCUGACAUUUGUUCAUGAAAAUGUUUUUAGGGUUUAUGGGCAUGUCAUUUGUCCCCAGCAAAUUCACAGGUACUUUUUAAUUGAGCAUUUUGAUCGAACGCUGAGACAGCAUUAUUGCGAGCAGGCUUCAACUGCUUCAUUCACGGUGCAAUCAAUCCGGACAACUCUUGGAUCUGUGUACCUAACGAAGCACAGAUCAUUCUAAAGAUCUCCGAAUUUGGGCUGCACAGGAAUCAAACUGCUGCCGAAAAUCGAAUUCGCUGUUUGAGCUCCAAUCAAAGUGAGAAGGAAAUAGUACCUGUAAAUUGCUGUGGAUAAAUGACAUGCACUAGAUUCAGUCAGUAAUCGAAAUCAUUCUCACAAGAACCGGAUUCCCACCCCAAGUUCCCUUACAGAUGGCCCCUGUCCAUGAUCGUGCUAUUAUUUGCUGUUCGUAAACUACUAAUUGUAACUUUUCAAAAUAUUGUGCUUCCGCCAUUUUCUACACAUGAAGAAGGAAAAAAGUUGAAUUUUAAUUUUAAAAAGAUUUCGUGAAAAAUCAACAAAAAACGUGUGGCCGUGAGAUGAAAUUUAUUAUAAUAAAUGUUCAAAAAAUUGUCAGGACAAUUUAUUCACCAUA